GCCUCUAGUCAAAUUCUGUUGAAUACUUCAACUAGAAAUUGGUCUAAAUAUACCUAGAAACUGGUCUAAAUAUCUUGCUACUGGAGAUUGAUCAGGUAUGCUGGAAUACUCUGAUCAGUGUAUUCGCUGAUUCAAAGGUAUCAGUUUCUGAAUGUUUAGAAUCUGAACCACAAACAAUGAGCAGAGAGGGUAUGAAGUUCUCAUACGAACAUGUUUCUGUAGGACACUUGUGCACAAAGUCCAAGUUAGAGAUACCAAAAAUUUGGAAAGAAAAAUCUAGCCAGUAAUUAAUGGUGAACAAGGGUGAGUUGUUGAGCUUCAAAUUUGAUUUCUUCUUUCAUCUUCCUUAUAAAAUCAUCACAUUUCUUGUUCAACUCAUCAACAUUCAGCAAUCCAAUUUCUUCUUCAUAAACUUCCUCCUUUUCCAAAGAU
RNAcentral lists this unclassified non-coding RNA (432 nucleotides) under Hevea brasiliensis (rubber tree). The record is from RNAcentral. Lineage: Eukaryota; Viridiplantae; Streptophyta; Magnoliopsida; Malpighiales; Euphorbiaceae.